AUGACUUUGAUCUGCGUCCUCAUCUGGACUCUCCUCUGCUUCACUCAGGGAUCUGAUGGACAAAAUAUUGUUGUGACUCAAUCAGCAGCCAAAUCAGUGCAGCUUGGUCAGACUGUCACUAUUGACUGUAAGGCCAGUAGACAAGUAGCUUGUAGCACACCCUGCCUGUCCUGGUACCAUCAUAAACCUGGAGAAGCUCCUAAAGCUCUGAUCUACAGAACAUCAUCCAGAUUUUCAGGAAUCUCCUCCAGAUUCAGUGGAAGUGGAGCAGGAAAUGGAUUAGACUUCACUCUGACCAUCAGUGGAGUUCAGGCUGAAGAUGCAGGAGUUUAUUACUGUCAGAGUUUUCAUUACAUCAACAGUCAGGAUGUGUUCACACAGUGAAAAAUCAUCGUACAAAAACCUCCCUCAGUCUGACUGAACAGAAACUAAACUUUGUUCUGCAGCUGGAAUCUGCAUCAGACACUGAUACAGUUCACUGAACACAUCAGGCCAGAAAUUAUAUUUCCAUUAAACACAAGAACA
Molecule: non-coding RNA, 525 nt
Organism: Xiphophorus maculatus (southern platyfish)
Lineage: Eukaryota; Metazoa; Chordata; Actinopteri; Cyprinodontiformes; Poeciliidae
Source: the annotation of a RefSeq genome assembly